Non-coding RNA from Pelobates cultripes (western spadefoot toad), 285 nucleotides. Lineage: Eukaryota; Metazoa; Chordata; Amphibia; Anura; Pelobatidae. The record is from the annotation of a GenBank genome assembly.
GUCCCCCCCAGCCGCUCUGGGUGUCUCUCUCAUAAAGUCCCUGUCUGUCUCUUUUGCACCUUCCCCUUCUUUGCUUGCCCUCCUAGCCCUUAUGUGUGUCUCUUUUUCUCUACAUUUGUGUCUCUUCCCCCUAACCCCUCUAUGUUGAUUUGUGCCCCUCCAGGUAUUUCAUCUCCCCCAUGUGUUUCUUUCCCCAAGCCCCUCAUGUGUCUCAAUUCCCCCAUCCAGUUCCUCCACGUGUAUCAUUUCCCUGCAAGCUCCUACAUGUGCUCAUUUCCCCCUCAG